UACGAAGGGGGCUAGCGUUGUUCGGAUUUACUGGGCGUAAAGCGCACGUAGGCGGAUCGAUCAGUCAGGGGUGAAAUCCCAGAGCUCAACUCUGGAACUGCCUUUGAUACUGUCGAUCUGGAGUAUGGAAGAGGUGAGUGGAAUUCCGAGUGUAGAGGUGAAAUUCGUAGAUAUCCGGAGGAACACCAGUGGCGAAGGCGGCUCACUGGUCCAUUACUGACGCUGAGGUGCGAAAGCGUGGGGAGCAAACAGG
Molecule: ribosomal RNA, 253 nt
Filed under: uncultured bacterium
Lineage: Bacteria
Description: partial 16S ribosomal RNA
Rfam family: Bacterial small subunit ribosomal RNA
Source: RNAcentral